UACGUAGGGGGCAAGCGUUGUCCGGAAUCAUUGGGCGUAAAGCGCGUGUAGGCGGCUCGGUAAGUCUGCUGUGAAAGUCCAGGGCUCAACCCUGGGAUGCCGGUGGAUACUGUCGAGCUCGAGUCCGGAAGAGGCGAGUGGAAUUCCUGGUGUAGCGGUGAAAUGCGCAGAUAUCAGGAGGAACACCAAUGGCGAAGGCAGCUCGCUGGGACGUGACUGACGCUGAGGAGCGAAAGUGUGGGGAGCGAACAGG
Molecule: ribosomal RNA, 253 nt
Filed under: uncultured bacterium
Lineage: Bacteria
Description: partial 16S ribosomal RNA
Rfam family: Bacterial small subunit ribosomal RNA
Source: RNAcentral